AAGAGACGUUGCCCUUCGGGGUAUACCUCCCACCCUUUGUUUAUUAUACCUUUGUUGCUUUGGCGGGCCCGUCCUCGGACCACCGGCUUCUGCUGGUCAGUGCCCGCCAGAGGACCUAAAACUCUGUUUGUAAUAUUGUCUGAGUACUAUAUAAUAGUUA
Molecule: unclassified non-coding RNA, 160 nt
Filed under: soil metagenome
Description: partial internal transcribed spacer 1
Source: RNAcentral